UAUGAAUACAGAGUUCCCUCUUCCUGGGUGU
Molecule: non-coding RNA, 31 nt
Filed under: Mus musculus (house mouse)
Lineage: Eukaryota; Metazoa; Chordata; Mammalia; Rodentia; Muridae
Source: RNAcentral